Molecule: long non-coding RNA, 2667 nt
Organism: Marmota monax (woodchuck)
Lineage: Eukaryota; Metazoa; Chordata; Mammalia; Rodentia; Sciuridae
Exons: 3
Source: RefSeq, a predicted model, not a curated record
GCAUAUUAACCAGUUUAAAGACGGUUUCUCUGGGUUCUACUGCGUCUAAAAAGAGACUAAAUUGACUCUUCAAAGAUUUCUAGGAUAAGUGGCCUCCAGUGACCCUACCUCCCAGUAUCACACCUGGUAUAAUCUCCUUCAACUGUGGGCUGCAGCUGAAAUCUUCCAAGAUAAGAGACCUUCAGUAAUGCCUGAGAGCCUUUCUUUUAUGAUGAAGAAUGAGCCAGAAAAACUAUGUGCUCAAGGCUGCACAGUUAGAAAACUACAGAUUUGGACUUUGAACCCCCACCUACCUCUAGCACUCACCUUGCUCUCCAACUGAAGGUGAAAGCACUUUCUCCCAGUGAUUGCUGAUAAUAUAACUCAGAUGAGAUUGAAUGCACUGCCCCAGAGAUGUAGGAAAAGGUGGAGGAUUUCUCAAAAGGGAAUUUUAUGAGAGACACAAACACUGGAGACAUCAAAGCCAACCUCCAUGUGCUUCCAAACAGGACGUUGUAAAAUGAGAGAACAGUCUAAUCUUAUCUGGAUAGGAAGAUAACGUGAUCAAGGGUGAUGAACAUUUCUGAGAAGCAGACCAGACCAGCUGUUACGAAAAAAAUCAUGGAGAAGAGAAGUUUCAAGAAACCCUGCACAGGCAGGCUGGACUCAAAGGAGGCCAGGGUAUGGGCAAAAUAGGUCUUUGGUCUUAAUUCUUCAACUAAUAGGAAAUCCUUGAAAGUUUCUCCUCAGUAAAGUGAUAAAAAUUUUGAUGAUUUUGUUGUGGCUGUUUGUUUUUGUUUUCUUUUGUUUUAAUGAAAAGAUUUGAAGAAAAUUAAUCAGAUAAAAGUCUUCACUGAAGGAGGACCCAAGCCAGUUUGCUCUUCAUCUUCUCUUCCCCUGCCUUCCCACUAGGUGGCACCAGAACUCAAAAUCAGAACCCCCUAAAACCUUCACUCUUCCAAUCUUACUGUAGGAUGACUCCUGUAAUAUUGUGAUGUGAUGGGAACAUAUCAAAACAUGGUUUCUAUUGCCAAUUGCUAACCUGACUCUUCAUUUACCCUGGGGUAUUUUUCAAGCAGUUAACAGUUUUCAGCUUAACUGACUGCAAAGUUCUGAAGACCUUUGGGAUCCAUGCCCGCUUAGAGAACUGUUCUAGGCCAACAUAAUGAGCAACCAUCCUGCAGAAAAUGCUAAAGGCCUGCUGGAAGUUGAUACAGUGGAAUUCAUUCAACCCUUGAUGGCUUCAAUCACGGAGAGUCUUCUAGUUUUCAAGAGAGGGAGGAUUUGCAGAUGACUGUUAAAUUACCUCCUUGACAUGAAACUCCAGUUGGAAUGUGGAAGGGGAAGAAAGCCUGAGCCAACUUAUUACCUAAUUCUUCAGGAAAGAAAUGUGAGAACCAAGCAGUCUGGCCCCUCCUUCCUUUCUGAAUGCCCUUUUCACUAGUUUAUACCACAGAGGACUCCCUCCCUUACGUAUUUCUUAAAGAAACUUCUUUUCUACUUUUCUCUUCCUAUCACUGCCCCAUUAUUGUUUAUUUUUAUUUUUUACUUAUCUAUUUAUUUGACAGUAGGAAGAAUGAUGCUUUCAAUUUGUUGUAAAAUUAGUGUCACAAAUCUACAUUUAAAACAAAAAAAGAUCAUUCCUGGUCACUUGUAAAUAUGUAUGUAGUGACUAAAAUACCAAUCAAUCAAGAUUCUUUUUGUAAACAUCUAAGCUUAAGUCCAUAUGAUUCCAAGGCUCAAAAGGCAAAUGGAAUAUCGCCCAAAUCUCAGGCAAGCAAGGCACAUGGCAUUUUUCCCUGAAUACUUCAAACUGAAAUUCGAGGAGGAAACACAAAGUUAGUUGAAACUAUCCCACAAAGGAAGUAUUGUUUAAAGGAUGGCAAGAGAUGGUUGUUCCAAACCAUAUUCACACCUGGAUUCCCUCAUGUUUCCACGCAUCUGCAGUUGGACUUCUGCAGUUAUCAUUUAUCAUGCCAGUGACUCAUGUUUCACAGGGGCAAAAUAAAUAUUUGCUGAAUAAAUCCUUCGAGCUGCUACCAAAAAUAGGAGAUAUUGGAAACAAAGAUGCAAACAUAGAAAAUAAACUAACAGCAGCUGUGGAAAUAAAUAAACUGUAUGAUAUUCCCACUUUUCUUUUCAUAAUUCCAAGUAAGAUUGUUUUUGUUUCUCUGUACUAAAGCUGAAAAACAAUAUAUUCUGACUUCCUCUGAUUUCAAAGAAUCAAUACUUUUGUUUUGCUUCGUAUUCUUGCUUCAGAGGAAAUGUGACACUUUUUAUCAGUGGUAAGUAUUUGUUCUUUUCUUAAGCACCUAUCUGAGAAUUUGGCAAAGUAUUUAAGCAAAUAGACCUGAAAGCCAUAGUUCAGAACCCAGGAAGCCUUGGGUGAGAUGAAGUCACGCAAACACACCUAUCUAAUGGGGGUAAAUUCUGAAAAAUGAGCCCCAGAAACAAAUAAGGAAGAGGCUAAAAGGAAACCCCCCGGAGCCAAGGCCUCUGCUCUCCUACUCCUGUGAUAAGAUGCAGUCUUUCCUUAGUCUCUUAUUUAACACUGAGCAUGAUUCAUGGACAAGAAGCCAUUGUCCUUUAAACCACCACAUUUUCCAUCUAUUACAGAAAAUCUAAGAUCAAUUUUCUAUCUAAUUCAAUUGGAUUAUUGAGUUAUUGCCCUUCACGCCUUCAACAUAU